RNAcentral lists this non-coding RNA (33 nucleotides) under Trichobilharzia regenti. Lineage: Eukaryota; Metazoa; Platyhelminthes; Trematoda; Strigeidida; Schistosomatidae. The record is from RNAcentral.
CUGACGAGUCCCAAAUAGGACGAAAUGCGCAUN